GGGUUGUGAGGUUAAGCGACUAAGCGUACACGGUGGAUGCCCUGGCAGUCAGAGGCGAUGAAGGACGUGCUAAUCUGCGAAAAGCGUCGGUAAGGUGAUAUGAACCGUUAUAGCCGGCGAUGUCCGAAUGGGGAAACCCAGUGUGAUUCGUCACACUAUCGUUAACUGAAUACAUAGGUUAACGAGGCGAACCGGGGGAACUGAAACAUCUAAGUACCCCGAGGAAAAGAAAUCAACCGAGAUUCCCCCAGUAGCGGCGAGCGAACGGGGAGCAGCCCAGAGUCUGAAUCAGCUUGUGUGUUAGUGGAACGGUCUGGAAAGUCCGACGGUACAGGGUGAUAGUCCCGUACACCAAAAUGCACAGGCUGUGAACUCGAAGAGUAGGGCGGGACACGUGGUAUCCUGUCUGAAUAUGGGGGGACCAUCCUCCAAGGCUAAAUACUCCUGACUGACCGAUAGUGAACCAGUACCGUGAGGGAAAGGCGAAAAGAACCCCGGCGAGGGGAGUGAAAAAGAACCUGAAACCGUGUACGUACAAGCAGUGGGAGCACCUUCGGGUGUGACUGCGUACCUUUUGUAUAAUGGGUCAGCGACUUAUAUUCUGUAGCAAGGUUAACCGUAUAGGGGAGCCGCAGGGAAACCGAGUCUUAACUGGGCGUUAAGUUGCAGGGUAUAGACCCGAAACCCGGUGAUCUAGCCAUGGGCAGGUUGAAGGUUGGGUAACACUAACUGGAGGACCGAACCGACUAAUGUUGAAAAAUUAGCGGAUGACUUGUGGCUGGGGGUGAAAGGCCAAUCAAACCGGGAGAUAGCUGGUUCUCCCCGAAAGCUAUUUAGGUAGCGCCUCGUGAACUCAUCUUCGGGGGUAGAGCACUGUUUCGGCUAGGGGGUCAUCCCGACUUACCAACCCGAUGCAAACUACGAAUACCGAAGAAUGUUAUCACGGGAGACACACGGCGGGUGCUAACGUCCGUCGUGAAGAGGGAAACAACCCAGACCGCCAGCUAAGGUCCCAAAGUCAUGGUUAAGUGGGAAACGAUGUGGGAAGGCACAGACAGCCAGGAUGUUGGCUUAGAAGCAGCCAUCAUUUAAAGAAAGCGUAAUAGCUCACUGGUCGAGUCGGCCUGCGCGGAAGAUGUAACGGGGCUAAACCAUGCACCGAAGCUGCGGCAGCGACACUAUGUGUUGUUGGGUAGGGGAGCGUUCUGUAAGCCUGCGAAGGUGACCUGUGAGGGUUGCUGGAGGUAUCAGAAGUGCGAAUGCUGACAUAAGUAACGAUAAAGCGGGUGAAAAGCCCGCUCGCCGGAAGACCAAGGGUUCCUGUCCAACGUUAAUCGGGGCAGGGUGAGUCGACCCCUAAGGCGAGGCCGAAAGGCGUAGUCGAUGGGAAACAGGUUAAUAUUCCUGUACUUGGUGUUACUGCGAAGGGGGGACGGAGAAGGCUAUGUUAGCCGGGCGACGGUUGUCCCGGUUUAAGCAUGUAGGCUGAUUGUCCAGGCAAAUCCGGAUAAUCAAGGCUGAGGUGUGAUGACGAGGCACUACGGUGCUGAAGUAACAAAUGCCCUGCUUCCAGGAAAAGCCUCUAAGCAUCAGGUAACAUCAAAUCGUACCCCAAACCGACACAGGUGGUCAGGUAGAGAAUACCAAGGCGCUUGAGAGAACUCGGGUGAAGGAACUAGGCAAAAUGGUGCCGUAACUUCGGGAGAAGGCACGCUGGUGUGUAGGUGAAGCCCCUGCGGGUGGAGCUGAGACCAGUCGAAGAUACCAGCUGGCUGCAACUGUUUAUUAAAAACACAGCACUGUGCAAACACGAAAGUGGACGUAUACGGUGUGACGCCUGCCCGGUGCCGGAAGGUUAAUUGAUGGGGUUAUCCGUAAGGAGAAGCUCUUGAUCGAAGCCCCGGUAAACGGCGGCCGUAACUAUAACGGUCCUAAGGUAGCGAAAUUCCUUGUCGGGUAAGUUCCGACCUGCACGAAUGGCGUAAUGAUGGCCAGGCUGUCUCCACCCGAGACUCAGUGAAAUUGAACUCGCUGUGAAGAUGCAGUGUACCCGCGGCAAGACGGAAAGACCCCGUGAACCUUUACUAUAGCUUGACACUGAACAUUGAGCCUUGAUGUGUAGGAUAGGUGGGAGGCUUUGAAGCGUGGACGCCAGUCUGCGUGGAGCCAACCUUGAAAUACCACCCUUUAAUGUUUGAUGUUCUAACGUUGGCCCCUGACCGGGGUUGCGGACAGUGUCUGGUGGGUAGUUUGACUGGGGCGGUCUCCUCCCAAAGCGUAACGGAGGAGCACGAAGGUUAGCUAAUCCUGGUCGGACAUCAGGAGGUUAGUGCAAUGGCAUAAGCUAGCUUGACUGCGAGCGUGACGGCGCGAGCAGGUGCGAAAGCAGGUCAUAGUGAUCCGGUGGUUCUGAAUGGAAGGGCCAUCGCUCAACGGAUAAAAGGUACUCCGGGGAUAACAGGCUGAUACCGCCCAAGAGUUCAUAUCGACGGCGGUGUUUGGCACCUCGAUGUCGGCUCAUCACAUCCUGGGGCUGAAGUAGGUCCCAAGGGUAUGGCUGUUCGCCAUUUAAAGUGGUACGCGAGCUGGGUUUAGAACGUCGUGAGACAGUUCGGUCCCUAUCUGCCGUGGGCGCUGGAGAAUUGAGGGGGGCUGCUCCUAGUACGAGAGGACCGGAGUGGACGCAUCACUGGUGUUCGGGUUGUCAUGCCAAUGGCACUGCCCGGUAGCUAAAUGCGGAAGAGAUAAGUGCUGAAAGCAUCUAAGCACGAAACUUGCCCCGAGAUGAGUUCUCCCUGAGACUUUAAGUCUCCUGAAGGAACGUUAAAGACGAUGACGUUGAUAGGCCGGGUGUGUAAGCGCAGCGAUGCGUUGAGCUAACCGGUACUAAUGAACCGUGAGGCUUAACCUUACAACGCCGAAG
Molecule: ribosomal RNA, 2923 nt
Filed under: Klebsiella pneumoniae
Lineage: Bacteria; Pseudomonadati; Pseudomonadota; Gammaproteobacteria; Enterobacterales; Enterobacteriaceae
Description: 23S ribosomal RNA
Rfam family: Bacterial large subunit ribosomal RNA
Source: RNAcentral